RNAcentral lists this ribosomal RNA (406 nucleotides) under uncultured bacterium. RNAcentral describes it as "partial 16S ribosomal RNA". It matches the Rfam family "Bacterial small subunit ribosomal RNA", at positions 30 to 526 of the family's 1533-position model. The record is from RNAcentral.
CUUGAACGCUGGCGGCAGGACUAACACAUGCAAGUCGAACGAGUGGCGGACGGGUGAGUAAUGUAUGGGAAACUGCCUGAUGGAGGGGGAUAACUACUGGCAACGGUAGCUAAUACCGCAUACCAUCGGAUGUGCCCAGAUGGGAUUAGCUAGUAGGUGGGGUAACGGCUCACCUAGGAGACGAACCCUAGCUGGUCUGAGAGGAUGACCAGCAACACUGGAACUGAGACACGGGCCAGACUCCUACGGGAGUCAGCAGUGGGGAAUAGUGCCCAAUGGGGGCAAGCCUGAUGCAGCCAUGCCGCGUGGAUGAAGAAGGCCUUCGGGUUGUAAAGUACUUUCAGCGAGGAGGCGUUACCCGCAGAAGAAGCACCGGCUAACUCCGUGCCAGCCGCCGCGGUAAUUC